Oreochromis aureus is the source of this 724-nucleotide long non-coding RNA. RefSeq lists it as uncharacterized. The transcript has 6 exons. The record is from RefSeq and is a predicted model, not a curated record. NCBI's taxonomy places the organism in Eukaryota, Metazoa, Chordata, Actinopteri, Cichliformes, Cichlidae.
GAGGGCAGACCCUCAGACGGGGAAGGAGAGGGUCUGCGGAGCGCACUGCAGGGAUGUGAUCACAGGGCAGGAAUUUGAUGUCAGAGCCAAAUGUGUUAUCAAUGCCACGGGACCUUUUACGGACGCGCUGUGGAAAAUGGAUGAUCAGAAGAACCCCGACAUCUGUCAGCCCAGUGCCGGGGUGCACAUCGUCAUCCCGGCUAUUACAGCCGUUCGCCCUCUCAUGCACACAACACUCAUGCACCUCCAGACUUGACAGCAUAAAACUCCAAGACGCCGUCGCAUCAUCUCCUAUCUGACCUGGGGAGCGGAUGCCCGAACACACCAUCGCAUAGCAAGUCAUCUCUGGAGAGGAUAUCAGUGUCUGAAUUACAUCCUCAACUAACUCGGCAACCACAACCAGGAAAUGGAAGAUGGCACAACAUCUGGCUUCCACCUACAGACGCAGGAUCUACAAAGUGGUCAGGUGGGCUGAUGGAUACCAGGAAAUUAGGGAGAGUCCUGUCUUCAUCCUGACCGAAGCGAGAGUGAAAUAAAUUUUGUCCAAGCUAGCAUCCUGUGUUGGACAGCUACUUGAAGCUGUGUGCCAUGAGACAAGCUCAGACGGAUGGAUUUCAGCACUAAUCCGUUUGAUGUAAGUGAAUUUAGGUUCUAAUUCAUGGGCUUGUGCACUGUAUAACAAGCCAGAAUCAGCAACACACGGUCCAUAAAUUCAAGAGGAGAG